RNAcentral lists this ribosomal RNA (475 nucleotides) under uncultured organism. RNAcentral's name for it is "partial 16S ribosomal RNA". It matches the Rfam family "Bacterial small subunit ribosomal RNA", at positions 331 to 797 of the family's 1533-position model. The record is from RNAcentral.
GUACACUCCUACGGGAGGCAGCAGUGGGGAAUUUCGGACAAUGGGCGAAAGCCUGAUCCAGCAAUGCCGCGUGAGUGAAGAAGGCCUUCGGGUUGUAAAGCUCUUUUGUCAGGGAAGAAACGGUGAGAGCUAAUAUCUCUUGCUAAUGACGGUACCUGAAGAAUAAGCACCGGCUAACUACGUGCCAGCAGCCGCGGUAAUACGUAGGGUGCAAGCGUUAAUCGGAAUUACUGGGCGUAAAGCGUGCGCAGGCGGUUUUGUAAGUCUGAUGUGAAAUCCCCGGGCUCAACCUGGGAAUUGCAUUGGAGACUGCAAGGCUAGAAUCUGGCAGAGGGGGGUAGAAUUCCACGUGUAGCAGUGAAAUGCGUAGAUAUGUGGAGGAACACCGAUGGCGAAGGCAGCCCCCUGGGUCAAGAUUGACGCUCAUGCACGAAAGCGUGGGGAGCAAACAGGAUUAGAUACCCCGGUAGUCCCA